AUUGAACGCUGGCGGCAGGCCUAACACAUGCAAGUCGAGCGAGCGGCGGACGGGUGAGUAAUGCAUGGGGAUUUGCCCGAUAGAGGGGGAUAACUCCUGGCAACGGUUGCUAAUACCGCAUACUAUCGGAUGAACCCACAUGGGAUUAACUAGUAGGUGGGGUAAAGGCUCACCUAGGCGACGAUCUCUCGCUGGUCUGAGAGGAUGAUUGGCCACACUGGGACUGAGACAUGGCCCAGACGCCUACGGGAGGCAGCAGUGUGGAAUAUUGCACAAUGGGCGCAAGCCUGAUGCAGCCAUGCCGCGUGUAUGAAGAAAGCCUUAGGGUUGUAAAGUACUUUCAGCAGGGAGGCGUUACCCGCAGAAGAAGCACCGGCAAACUCCGUGCCAGCAGCCGCGGUAAUAC
Molecule: ribosomal RNA, 406 nt
Filed under: uncultured bacterium
Lineage: Bacteria
Description: partial 16S ribosomal RNA
Rfam family: Bacterial small subunit ribosomal RNA
Source: RNAcentral